CUGCUGAGCAGUUUACCAUUGUGUGGCCACUGUACAUGCUAAAGCUUCUUGAAGUCACAGGCGAGAGAUGGAUCAGGUGGAAGCAGCCCUGGAAAGCGUCCAGCAGCCGUCACCCCAGAGAGCUCAGAAGGUGACUGGCAAGAUGCGUGUGGACCACCUGCCUGCCUGCUGCCCUGCUCCACCUUGGCCCGGGCACAAGGAUGAUGAGGAGAGAAGAAGGGCAUCGUGACAAAGCGAACAGAAGACCAGGCUUUGAGUCAGGACCGUCCCUGGCACAUGCUGACUGUGGGACCCUG
This is a long non-coding RNA of Sarcophilus harrisii (Tasmanian devil), 296 nucleotides long. RefSeq lists it as uncharacterized. Lineage: Eukaryota; Metazoa; Chordata; Mammalia; Dasyuromorphia; Dasyuridae. The record is from RefSeq and is a predicted model, not a curated record. The transcript is spliced from 3 exons.